UAUGGCCACAUCAUGUUUAAAACACAGAUUCCCGUACGAUCACCAAAGUUAAGCAAUGUCGAGCCAGGUCAGUACCUAGAUGGGUCACCACUUGGGAAUUAGUUGUGU
This is a non-coding RNA of Acanthosepion pharaonis, 108 nucleotides long. Lineage: Eukaryota; Metazoa; Mollusca; Cephalopoda; Sepiida; Sepiidae. The record is from the annotation of a GenBank genome assembly.